Molecule: ribosomal RNA, 447 nt
Filed under: uncultured bacterium
Lineage: Bacteria
Description: partial 16S ribosomal RNA
Rfam family: Bacterial small subunit ribosomal RNA
Source: RNAcentral
AACGAACGCUGGCGGCAGGCUUAACACAUGCAAGUCGAACGCAUCGCAAGAUGAGUGGCAGACGGGUGAGUAACGCGUGGGAACAUACCCUUUUCUACGGAAUAGCUCUGGGAAACUGGAAUUAGUGCCGUAUACGCCCUACGGGGGAAAGAUUUAUCGGGGAAGGAUUGGCCCGCGUUGGAUUAGCUAGUUGGUGGGGUAAAGCCCUACCAAGGCGACGAUCCAUAGCUGGUCUGAGAGGAUGAUCAGCCACAUUGGGACUGAGACACGGCCCAAACUCCUACGGGAGGCAGCAGUGGGGAAUAUUGGACAAUGGGCGCAAGCCUGAUCCAGCCAUGCCGCGUGAGUGAUGAAGGCCUUAGGGUUGUAAAGCUCUUUCACCGAUGAAGAUAAUGACGAUAGUCGGAGAAGAAGCCCCGGCUAACUUCGUGCCAGCCGCCGCGGUAA